RNAcentral lists this non-coding RNA (30 nucleotides) under Rattus norvegicus (Norway rat). Lineage: Eukaryota; Metazoa; Chordata; Mammalia; Rodentia; Muridae. The record is from RNAcentral.
UAGUGCUAUCAGUGGUAAUAGCAUAGGUGC